AACGAACGCUGGCGGCAGGCUUAACACAUGCAAGUCGAACGAAGGCUUCGGCCUUAGUGGCGCACGGGUGAGUAACACGUGGGAAUAUACCUCUUGGUGGGGAAUAACAUCGGGAAACUGAUGCUAAUACCGCAUACGCCCUUCGGGGGAAAGAUUUAUCGCCGAGAGAUUAGCCCGCGUCCGAUUAGCUAGUUGGUGAGGUAAUGGCUCACCAAGGCGACGAUCGGUAGCUGGUCUGAGAGGAUGAUCAGCCACACUGGGACUGAGACACGGCCCAGACUCCUACGGGAGGCAGCAGUGGGGAAUAUUGGACAAUGGGCGAAAGCCUGAUCCAGCCAUGCCGCGUGAGUGAUGAAGGCCUUAGGGUUGUAAAGCUCUUUCACCCACGACGAUGAUGACGGUAGUGGGAGAAGAAGCCCCGGCUAACUUCGUGCCAGCCGCCGCAGUAA
This 449-nucleotide ribosomal RNA is filed under the name uncultured bacterium. RNAcentral's name for it is "partial 16S ribosomal RNA". It matches the Rfam family "Bacterial small subunit ribosomal RNA", at positions 29 to 523 of the family's 1533-position model. The record is from RNAcentral.